GUGGGUACCCGCGGGAGUCCGGCCGAACGGACUGAGAGGGGGCUGAAGCCCCGACCGCCGAACCUGAUCCGGAUCAUGCCGGCGCAGGGAGCGAGCAUUGACGAACG
RNAcentral lists this non-coding RNA (107 nucleotides) under Actinopolyspora erythraea. RNAcentral describes it as "TPP sequence". It matches the Rfam family "TPP riboswitch aptamer (THI element)". From Rfam's summary of the family: Vitamin B(1) in its active form thiamin pyrophosphate (TPP) is an essential coenzyme that is synthesised by coupling of pyrimidine and thiazole moieties in bacteria. Lineage: Bacteria; Bacillati; Actinomycetota; Actinomycetes; Actinopolysporales; Actinopolysporaceae. The record is from RNAcentral.